GAUAAGUCGAGGUAGACUUAACGUAUAUUUUCAGGAAUAUGGCCUGAUAGUCUCUACCCAGCUACCAUAAAAUAGCUGGACUACGUGUUAUGAGGUCACCGGG
Molecule: non-coding RNA, 103 nt
Filed under: Thermoactinomyces sp.
Lineage: Bacteria; Bacillati; Bacillota; Bacilli; Caryophanales; Thermoactinomycetaceae
Description: Guanine sequence
Rfam family: Purine riboswitch aptamer
About the family: Riboswitches are metabolite binding domains within certain messenger RNAs that serve as precision sensors for their corresponding targets. Allosteric rearrangement of mRNA structure is mediated by ligand binding, and this results in modulation of gene expression.
Source: RNAcentral